CAUGCUAGUUGUACGAGUUGAGACUCUUUAGCAGAUAGCUCAGUAACACGUGGCAAACUACCCUAUGGAUCCAGACAACCUCGGGAAACUGAGGCUAAUCUGGAAUAGGGCUCUCAUCCUGGAGUGGAGAGAGCCUGAAAUGCUCCGGCGCCAUAGGAUGUGGCUGCGGCCGAUUAGGUAG
RNAcentral lists this ribosomal RNA (181 nucleotides) under Natrialba hulunbeirensis. RNAcentral's name for it is "partial 16S ribosomal RNA". It matches the Rfam family "Archaeal small subunit ribosomal RNA", at positions 50 to 232 of the family's 1478-position model. The record is from RNAcentral. Lineage: Archaea; Methanobacteriati; Methanobacteriota; Halobacteria; Halobacteriales; Natrialbaceae.